AUUCGGGGCGCCAUUGGUCUGCGGGGCGCGGUGCUUCCCGGGAGAUGUAGUCUCUUCUGCUCUGGCUCUGUUGCCCAGGGCAACCGCGCCCUCAGGCCUGAAUGUGGCGGCUGCCUCUGCGAAUGGACGGCGUGGGAGGAGAAUGGCUUCUGCAAGGAAAGCCAGCCGUCCCACGCGUGAUGUUUUUGGUGACUUCAGUGAUGUUUCCUUGGAAGAUUCAACAAUGGAAGAAAUCAGAAACUUCCAGAUCAGUAGAAAUCUUACCAAAAUAGCACCUGGUCAUAGCAGAUUUCUAAAAAGAAACCAAACUCUAGAUGAGAAACACUUACUCCUGAAAGAGAACCCUGUGCUGGGGAGUGGACCCAGGCUUGCCUCAUGUAGACCGCCCACCACUGCCUCCAGGAUCCGAGCCAAUGCCGCACUCAUGAAGCUGGCCCAGCUGGAAACCCGGAUCAUGAAUCGGAAGCUGCAGAGGAAUUUGUCUGACACGGAAUCUGACUCAAUGACCGCCGAUGCCGGUCUUCCAAAGAGAGCUGACAGAAUCCUCUCCGGGGGUGCACUCGAACUCGCGUCCCAGAACACAGACAAAACUUCCCAGAAUCAAGCCCGUGAACUUCCUGUCACCGAAAAUAAUGCACAGAACGCGAAGGUCAGUAGGUUUCUAAAGAAGAAACAAGCACCUGUUGAAAACAUAUCCCGUGAAGCACCUGCUGGGAAAGAGAGGACUUUGCAAACCCCCAAACAGAAAGAACCUGCUAGAACAUUUGAUUCUCCAGACAGUGACGAAGAAGAAAUGAAAGUAUUGCUAGGAAGCUUGGUGGACUCUUCUAGAGAAAAAAACACGAAUCAAGGCUUCAGCAGCGCUAACGUCAGCGAGGAAGAAGAAAGAAAACUAUUUUCGGUCCCAUCUCAACCGAGAGCAUUUACUGUACCCAGCGUGGAACUCUCCAGCGCAAAGCCUUCUCAGACAUCACACCUGCCAACCUCCCUGGCAGCAGACAGAACCCUUCACAGCACUCGCUCAAGAGCAGACUACCCACAGAGUCACGUUUCCGGUGGCACCGCCUCCCACAUGCCGUCAGUUUCCAUCACAGGCGCCUUUUCAAACUCAGUGUCUUUAAAGAUGGGGCAUGUCAAGCUUGCAUCCUCCCCGGGAAGGAGUGAGGCUGAGCCUGUGGACGAGCCAGUCUCAGAAGGUGCUGAUGACAGCCUCGACGAGUUUAGAAUAAAUAUUUUAUCGCUUGACCAUCUGGCUCCAGUUGUCAGUGAGAACUCUGAUUUGGAACAGGAAGAGGAAAGUGCUCUGAGAGAAAAAACAGCUGGCAAAAUCUUCAGAGCCGAGGCGUCCACUGGGCAGGAUGCCCCGAGGCAGGCCCAGGCGAGGAGUUGGGCAUCACAGGGAAAGGCCGCCUCUGCAGAGGGGGAUGAGAGCGAGGUCUCGGAGCAUCUCAGUGCCAGCUCGGCUUCUGCCAUCCAGCAGGAUAGCACUUCCAGCAUGCAGCCACCAUCUGAAGCCCCCAUGGUGAACACAGUCAGCUCAGCUUAUUCGGAGGAUUUUGAAAACUCUCCAAGUCUGACAGCAUCCGAGCCAACCGCCCAUUCCAAGGAGUCUCUUGACAGAACACUGGACGCUUUGUCUGAAUCCUCUUCAAGUGUGAAGACAGACCUUCCACAAACAGCCGAGUCUAGGGAAAAGUCGGGCAGGCAGGUGACAAGAGUGCUUGUGAAGGACACAGCUGUGCAGACGCCAGAUCCCGCCUUCACCUACGAGUGGACCAAGGUGGCCGGCAUGGCAGCCAUGGGGCCUGCCCUGGGAGGCGCCUACGUGGACCCGACACCCAUCGCCAAUCAUGUUAUCAGAGCGGAUGCAAUAGAAGCCCUGACCGCCUACAGCCCGGCCGUGCUGGUGCUCCAUGAUGUGCUGAAGCAGCAGCUGAGCCUGACGCAGCAGUUCAUCCAGGCCAGCCGGCACCUGCACGCCUCCCUCCUGCGCUCCCUGGACGCGGACUCCUUCCACUACCACACCCUGGAGGAAGCCAAAGAGCCCCGUGUGCCAACCUGUCACACACAUCCUGUGGUUUUACACUUCUGUCACCCCGACAGGAGCCUGCUGGGGACAGGUGCCGGCUCCUCCCUCCUCCAGCACCCCGUCUCAGAGUGUACUAAGGUGACGAUGGUGAUGGCGUGGUCUGUCCUCUGCCUGACAGUACAUUAGGUGCCACAGACCUGCCCCACUGUCCAUGGAGGACGCCCUGGAGGAGGUGAACAAGGAGCUGUGAGCGCCAGCAGGUGGAGCUUGACGUGACGUCUAACAAAAGCAAAGCACCGCAGCUUCCCAGAGUUACCAGCGCAGCACUUAAGACAGGAUCUUACGGCGGGGUGGGGCUCCUGGACCGUGACCGGCGUCUUCUUCCUGGGGAGUACGACUUGGACCGGGACCGCGACUGGGACCGGGAGCGGCUUCUGGAGGAGCGCGACCUGCUCCGACUUCUGCAGGGAAGGGUGCCCAACGGUCAGCAGCAGCCAGGCGUCGUGGGGAGGCCACAGGAAGAGGCCUCAGGCACUGCCCUGAGGCAGCCUCUGCCUACCUAGAUCUGGAGCGGGAGUAGGAACGGGAGCAGGAGCGCGACCUUGACCUUGAGUACGAGCCUGAAGACUUGGAGGAUCUUGAGUUGGAGCGGGAGGAAGAACGCCCUCGACUCUUGGAUCUGCUCCGAGACCUCGAGGGUCCGCUGCGGGGAGAGGCCUGAUGAUCAGGUGCCCCAGUGGAUGGGCUGCACCCAGCCCACCCUGGCCCUCAGGUUCCUAGACCACCCCAGAUGCAGGGGCUCUGGCUGUGGAUGUGGCGCCAUAGCCACAGCAACGGUAUCAAGUUCCUAAAUAGUGUGGCCGAGCCUGCUGCUGUGUGAAUUCAGGCCUUGUGGAAAACACCGCCCCGUAGGCACAGGCUGUGUGAGGGCGGACGUGAUGAGCGUAUCUGGGGUCUGCUCCCACCCAUCACAAGCUGUGGACCCUGGCCCCCCAGCCACUGCAGACAUCUGCGCUUUUACCUGUUCCUCUUCUCCUGGCCUUUCCGCCGCCGGGCCCGCAUUUUUGCUCGGAAGAACUCAUAGAGGCCGUUCUGCUCCCAGCCUUCACUGUAAGACACGGCAUUCCGUGUGUGACCACGUGACACCCACCCACAAGGAACUCGUGAAAAAGUCAUCAGGAGUUAAUCCACAGAACCUCGGAGAGUACAUGGCCCUGUGGCUGUGGGCUCCGAGCAUGGGUGCAGUAGAGCUUGGUUCAGUGUUCCCACAGGGCUGUCCUCCUGCAGCCCAGUGGCUCCUCUGGUGCCCACGCCCUUGCCACCCUGCUGUUCCGCUGAGGUGGUGGGGACCCAUGGUCUGUGGAACUGGGAAACAGGAACACUGACUCAUGGGUGGACAGGCCUGCAGCCCAGCACAGGAAGGAGGUGUGACCACUGGGAAGGGUGGGCUGAGGGCCCUGUGGCAGCCGGCUGCUUGAGACGUGCCACCGUGCCACACCUUCCCUAAGUUCUUCUGAUGUGUCUCCAUUAAAACGCCCUUCAUUGAGG
RNA transcript from Gorilla gorilla gorilla (western lowland gorilla), 3577 nucleotides. It is a transcript of the gene named chromosome 20 C19orf44 homolog, with no coding region annotated. The record is from RefSeq and is a predicted model, not a curated record. The transcript is spliced from 9 exons. Lineage: Eukaryota; Metazoa; Chordata; Mammalia; Primates; Hominidae.